Molecule: long non-coding RNA, 2157 nt
Filed under: Fukomys damarensis (Damara mole-rat)
Lineage: Eukaryota; Metazoa; Chordata; Mammalia; Rodentia; Bathyergidae
Description: lncRNA (ENSFDAG00000028241.1)
Source: RNAcentral
CGGCCCGGAACACGCGCUUUUCCCUUUCUCUGCAAGCGGGAAAGGCCUGUUCACCAGGCGGGCAGGCGGCGGGGCCUCGGCUGAAACCCGAGCUCCCUGCGAUCUCCGCUGCGAGAAGGGGCGGGCUGGGAGAAUUCCUGAGAAAAGCCCCUCUGGAAAAAACCAAACCCUCCGAAAGACGAGGGCCUGCCCCUCCCCCGGCCCCUCCACACCGCCCGCUCAGCCCUCACCUGCGACCCAGCCUGGGCCUGGCCGCCUUCCCCGCCCCCACUCUUCGGCUCCAUCUCCCUGACCUUUCCGAGGCCUGGGCUGGGGUGCCUCGGAGGAAAUGAAAUUGUUCUGGAGAUUACAGUGGGGCUUUGGGCCAGAAGCACCCCCGCCUUCUCAUGCUUGCAUGUUAAAUGCAAACUUGUAUCUCUUGUCACAAGAAUGGCCAAAUUUUCUCGCUUAUUUGCAGUUUUGCAAAGUGCUACACACAGAUCAGGGAACCUGAAGGCCUACGGAGACCCACGUUGUGCAGGCUCUGGGAAGCAGAUCCUCCUGCAGAAAUAUUGCUGUCCUUGGGAGCGUGGAAGCCAGCCAUCACUGUGAUGGAUAGACAAGAGGACCGUGGCAGAGAAAGGAGCAGAUUUUAAUGAAAGAAGAAUUGUGCAAAAGCCACUGCUUUGUCCCAGAACUGAAACAAAGACUAACACACAGGAAAGAUGCAGCCUCUCCAAAAUGCCCUCUUCUCUGAUUUGGGAGCGAAGUGCCUGGAGUCACCAGCCCAUAAUUGUGGUUGAUAUUUAAUCCUCCUUGGUACAAAGCUCAUCUUUCCUCUACGCAGGAGUACCAUUGAGAUAUGACUAACCUUUAGGGUUAUAUCCCAAACCGGGAGUCCGGGGCUUACACUCAGAUUGCCUGGGCCUCUUCUAACCUGAACAAAAAGGAUUUGAAGAAAAUCACAUUUUUUCCCCCUUCGCAACAAAGCAUUCCUAAUCACUUCAGCUCGUUGGUGAAUUUUUAUUCCCGUGUCCACUUGGGGUAUUGAAAUCGAUCGCCGCAAUAUUUAAUAUAUUACACUCCUAGGGUCAUUGCUCUCCUAAGACCAAAUUCUCUCCCUUUUGCCCUCAACUCAGCCUGGCUUCUAUCCUCCCAGUCCCAUCUGUCCAGGCCCUCCAUUUAUCUGUCCACACAACGCCUUUAAUUCCCAGCCCAGCCAGACAACUUCACGUUUAUUCUGUUUUCUUCUGGUAUGGAAAAUUCUGAAAGCUGUAGGCAGCAGUGCACUUAAAAGGGAAAACGAGGAGUUCAGUAGAUUGCAGAAAAUUAACCUGCCACAAACAACCUCAUUAAAGCACUGCCUACCAAGAGUUAAGAAUUAAUAGCAAAAUGGAUGGGAAAAAAACCCUUGAGUGAAGAGACCUUAAACCUCUUCCCCUGGAAGGUGCAUAAUUUACAAGCCCACCCUAACAUUCACUUUUACUUCCCUUUCCUAGUGAUCUGUCCCAUAACCUUGUAAUCCACUGCUGGGGCGUUUUCUCUUUGGUCCUUUUCUUCUUUUUUUCACACACCUGUAGGUUUGCAAGUUCGAAUACUUUCUCAUAUUUUUUUGUUCAAAAAUGCACUUAUAUUGUUUGGAGCCUUUUAAUUUAGAGAGACACUUUAAGAGACUCCUGGAAUACCCUUUGGGAGUCCUUAGAUGAUUUGAAGAGUGCCCUUAAAAGAAUUGUGUUUGGAUAGGAGGGGGUGUGUGGUAAGAUCACGCAGAAAAGAAGCCUGAAAAACCAGAAUGAGGGCAUUUUGGAGGUGUAGGGUUCUGACAGUGCUGUGCUUUCUUCUGCACAUGAACUUCGUAUUUAAGUAAAGCCCAUGUACACGGGCUUUAAGUUGCUUUUCUAAUAAAAAUUGGGCAGUGUGUUCUCUAUUGGCAUUUUAUAUGCAUAAUCUCAUUUCGAUGCAGAGCUGCAUACUAAAUCCUGGAGCAGGCAGAUGAGAAUGCUGUAUUACACUCAAUUUCAUUGGCUUCAAUGAGACUUGCACAUUGCCAUUUCCAUUGUAAUGGCUUAUCUUUGGCUGGAAUUUUACACAUUGACAUGCUAUCCCUUCUUUGGCCGGGAUCCUGAAUGAAGAAACCCUGUCAAUGGAACAGCCAUAAUGAUUCCAUUCACAUUAUAG